Molecule: ribosomal RNA, 425 nt
Filed under: uncultured bacterium
Lineage: Bacteria
Description: partial 16S ribosomal RNA
Rfam family: Bacterial small subunit ribosomal RNA
Source: RNAcentral
UGGGAAUUUGGACGAAUUGGGCGAAAGCCUGAUCCAGCAAUGCCGCGUGUGUGAAGAAGGCCUUCGGGUUGUAAAGCACUUUUGUCCGGAAAGAAAUCCUUGGCUCUAAUACAGUCGGGGGAUGACGGUACCGGAAGAAUAAGCACCGGCUAACUACGUGCCAGCAGCCGCGGUAAUACGUAGGGUGCAAGCGUUAAUCGGAAUUACUGGGCGUAAAGCGUGCGCAGGCGGUUUGCUAAGACCGAUGUGAAAUCCCCGGGCUCAACCUGGGAACUGCAUUGGUGACUGGCAGGCUAGAGUAUGGCAGAGGGGGGUAGAAUUCCACGUGUAGCAGUGAAAUGCGUAGAGAUGUGGAGGAAUACCGAUGGCGAAGGCAGCCCCCUGGCAAGUACUGACGCUCAUGCACGAAAGCGUGGGGAGCAAAC